Molecule: ribosomal RNA, 422 nt
Filed under: uncultured bacterium
Lineage: Bacteria
Description: bacterial SSU rRNA
Rfam family: Bacterial small subunit ribosomal RNA
Source: RNAcentral
UAAGGAAUAUUGGUCAAUGGACGCAAGUCUGAACCAGCCAUGCCGCGUGGAGGAUGAAGGCCCUCUGGGUUGUAAACUUCUUUUAUAUGGGACGAAAAAGGGUCUUUCUAGAUCAACUGACGGUACCAUGUGAAUAAGCACCGGCUAACUCCGUGCCAGCAGCCGCGGUAAUACGGAGGGUGCAAGCGUUAUCCGGAUUCACUGGGUUUAAAGGGUGCGUAGGUGGGUUGGUAAGUCAGUGGUGAAAUCUCCGGGCUUAACUUGGAAACUGCCAUUGAUACUAGCGGUCUUGAGUGUGGUGGAGGUGAGCGGAAUAUGUGGUGUAGCGGUGAAAUGCUUAGAUAUGACGUAGAACACCAAUUGCGAAGGCAGCUGGCUACGCAGAUACUGACGCUGAGGCACGAAAGCGUGGGGAUCAAACA